GACGAACGCUGGCGGCGUGCUUAACACAUGCAAGUCGAGCGGUAAGGCCCUUUCGGGGGUACACGAGCGGCGAACGGGUGAGUAACACGUGGGUGACCUGCCCUCAGCUCUGGGAUAAGCCUGGGAAACCGGGUCUAAUACUGGAUAUGACUCCAUGACGCAUGUUGUGGGGUGGAAAGCCUUGUGCGGCUGAGGAUGGGCCCGCGGCCUAUCAGCUUGUUGGUGGGGUGAGGCCUACCAAGGCGACGACGGGUAGCCGGCCUGAGAGGGCGACCGGCCACACUGGGACUGAGACACGGCCCAGACUCCUACGGGAGGCAGCAGUGGGGAAUCUUGCGCAAUGGGCGAAAGCCUGACGCAGCGACGCCGCGUGAGGGAUGACGGCCUCGGU
RNAcentral lists this ribosomal RNA (391 nucleotides) under uncultured bacterium. Its description in RNAcentral is "bacterial SSU rRNA". It matches the Rfam family "Bacterial small subunit ribosomal RNA", at positions 28 to 423 of the family's 1533-position model. The record is from RNAcentral.